RNAcentral lists this ribosomal RNA (467 nucleotides) under uncultured bacterium. RNAcentral describes it as "partial 16S ribosomal RNA". It matches the Rfam family "Bacterial small subunit ribosomal RNA", at positions 29 to 507 of the family's 1533-position model. The record is from RNAcentral.
ACGAACGCUGGCGGCGUGCUUAACACAUGCAAGUCGAACGGAAAGGCCCUGCUUUUGUGGGGUGCUCGAGUGGCGAACGGGUGAGUAACACGUGAGUAACCUGCCCUUGACUUUGGGAUAACUUCAGGAAACUGGGGCUAAUACCGGAUAGGAGCUCCUGCUGCAUGGUGGGGGUUGGAAAGUUUCGGCGGUUGGGGAUGGACUCGCGGCUUAUCAGCUUGUUGGUGGGGUAGUGGCUUACCAAGGCUUUGACGGGUAGCCGGCCUGAGAGGGUGACCGGCCACAUUGGGACUGAGAUACGGCCCAGACUCCUACGGGAGGCAGCAGUGGGGGAUAUUGCACAAUGGGCGGAAGCCUGAUGCAGCAACGCCGCGUGCGGGAUGACGGCCUUCGGGUUGUAAACCGCUUUCGCCUGUGACGAAGCGUGAGUGACGGUAAUGGGUAAAGAAGCACCGGCUAACUACGUG